CCUGCACUCCUCGGGCCAAUCUAGGUUAGUCCCGAAACUUCUUUGUUCUCUUGUCAUUUUUCUAUUCUUUCUUCUUCGUAUUCCAUUCGUUUAGCUUCUCCGAGAGUUUGCUUAUAAUUUUUUUUGAUUUUUUUGAAUUUUUUGUGGCUUCCAUUUGAUCCAAAAUAUCUUCCAGUAUCUCCUUUUUUAGUGGUUCUAGG
RNAcentral lists this long non-coding RNA (200 nucleotides) under Elaeis guineensis (African oil palm). RNAcentral's name for it is "long non-coding RNA (EGUI_LNC074420)". Lineage: Eukaryota; Viridiplantae; Streptophyta; Magnoliopsida; Arecales; Arecaceae. The record is from RNAcentral.